Molecule: long non-coding RNA, 2717 nt
Filed under: Mytilus galloprovincialis (Mediterranean mussel)
Lineage: Eukaryota; Metazoa; Mollusca; Bivalvia; Mytilida; Mytilidae
Source: RNAcentral
AUGAUGGAAUAUACAUUAUUAAAAUAUUGCACAAUUUUAUAAUCAUCACAAAAAAUCACAUCACAAUCAUAUUUCAUAAUCAAUAGUACUAUACAACAUUGUACAACAUUGUACAAAUGCAUUAAAUUGUCAAAAAAAAUUUUCAAGACAUACUACCAUUCUUCAGGUAAUGUAUAUGUCUCAAUUGUGAUUCAAUUCCCCCAUAAAGCUUCAAAUAAGUUCUUAGAUCAGAAUGUCACAGUAUGCUUUUUUAAGAAUAUUAGCUAUGUGUCAAAGAGACAGCAACCUAACUACACUAACAACCCGAAGUCAUCUAGAGGUCAAAAUUCAGAUUUAAAAAAUCAUUACCUUUCAAUAAGUAAAGAUCACUAUUCCCAUUUUUAAAGCACCUUUGGGAAUAGCAAAUUACAAGAGAAAGGCCAGGUCAUAAAAGGCGGGAAAUGACCUAUACAAAAAUACAGAUGUCAAAAUGAUACUACACCCUUUCAAAAAGUCUUUUUCAUAGAGACAUAAGUAACCUCUACAUAUAGAUGUAAAAGAACUUUCUUUACCUGUUGCACAAGUCUCAUACAUUGUAUUUCAUUUUUGUUCAAUCUUAAUAUUUUUUGUUAUUUUUUAUAACUUUUAACUAUGAUACAUGCCCUGUAAAAAUGAAGGCACUUGUACAAUAUAUUCCUCAAAAAAAUUUGGUGAUAGAGGUAUAAUUAACCCUGAUUAAUAAUAUGGCCAUGGUGAGAUCUUAUUCAAAUCUUCCACCACUGCAUGUCAUAUAUCACAUGAAGGGUUAGAAUAUAUCUAAAUCCUAAGUGAGAAAAAAAUGCUACAAAAUAAACAUUUUUUUAAGUUUUAAACAACCUGUCAGUUAUGUAGUUAUCUCCCCUUGUAUAAAUAUAUAAUUUUCCAAUAAAACAAUUGAUGCAGUCAAAAAUACCAUGACAUUAAAUUUUGCUAAAUAUUAUAAUAACAUGCACUUAAUAUUGUAUAAAUGAUAUUGCUUAAUAUUGUAUAGCAUAUUGUGUGCUUAAUAUUGUAUAAAUGACAUGUGCUUAAUAUUGUAUAGCAUAACAUGUGCUUAAUAUUGUAUAAAUGACAUGUGCUUAAUAUUGUAUAGCAUAACAUGUGCUUUACUGUGGAUUCAUUUAUUUUCGUGGGUACCAAUUUUCAUGGAUUACAGAACACUUCCAUGUUCUUGGAUAUUUAAUUUCGUGGUUUUGAUGCAGACUACAUUCAAGCCUAUAGCAAAUUUUUCAUUAGUGGAAUAUUUGAUUUUGUGGUUCACCUGUAGCCACGAAAUCCAUGAAAAUUGGUAUCCAACGAAAAUGAAUGAAUCCACAGUUUAUUGUAUAAUGACAUGUGCUUGUUAUAUGUGUUGUAAAGAGAUUCAAAGCAUAUUUAAAUGUUCUAAUGAUUUAAAUUUCCUACUGUUUAAACUUGGUAGUUAAUAAACAACCUUGGGUAAAAUCUCAACCAAAACACCUUCUGAUUUUCAAUUAAAGAUGUUUGUAUAUAAAUAACAACCCAUUUUCAUUGUUUGUUAUGUAUACCUAUAUGCACUGUAUACAACAAGAGAAAUAGAGAUAACUUCCUCAGGCAAUUUAUUGAUGAAUAUAGAAGUAUUUUUGAAAAAAAACAAUGAAAGGAUAAAAAGAAUAAUAAUUACAAGUUGUUUAGCACCAUCACUAUAAACAAAAGUUUUCUACUGUAAUACCACCUAGACUUGUAUAAUGUGGCAAAACAGAAACUUUGACAAGGAUCCUAUCAAUAGGUUUUGAUUGGAAUAUAUAUAAACAUUAAAAUCUUUAUAGUUGAACGAUCUCAUUGCAUUGCUUAGUAUUAUCCUUUAUUUAUAGUAAGGAAAAGAAAUAAUUUAUAAACUUGAUGCCAAAAUCUAAAUAUUUAUUUGUUACCAUCUACAUGGGCUGAACUAAAAACAAUUUAGUGAAUCAGUAAUCAGUAUACAUAUAAAGUAUGAAGAUUUCAUGAGGAUGUGAUAACUGCAAGAAAAUAAAUUCUUUUGAUAUCUGUUAUGUUAAGAUAAUAAAAGGGGACACAACUCCACUUUUAAAACCUUGGCUAUCAGUAUACCAACUUAAUACUUUAAGACAACAACUUUACUUUAAACAUUUAAUAUGAAUGUUAUUUUCAGCUAUAUAUAUAUAUAUAUAGAAAUAAUGAUAGAAAAUAAAAGAAACUAAAAAUAUGAAUUGACUAGACCUAGUUUAAUGUAAGAGUUUGUUCCCUUUUAUUCACAACCAUUACCCUAAUGCUGCCCUUGACUGGAGUGACAAAUUCUAAGGCAAGUUUUUAUGUAGUUUUGAGAUUCUUGAAGCCUCACAAACGUUUUACUUCAUUGGUUUUAAAUAUUUAAUUUUCGAUGUAAACGUUUAAAUUAUAAAUUGUAAACAUUUUGUAACAACAAUUUAUAAAGGGUGUAUCACCUGUGACUGAUGUUGUUAUAAGGUUCACUGCCAAAAAAAAUAAGUUUUUUUAAAAUCAGUAAAAUACAAAAUAAAUAAGUUUGUGUAGGGUGCUAUCUCUUGAAUUUGAGGAAGCAUUUUUUCCCAAAUUUGUUAAAUUCCAUGAAGGUUUGAUGAGGUUGCUCAAGUUUUUUAAAAUCUUUUACAACAGACUGUACUCAUAUGAUAGUAGAUUAUUGCAAAAUGAAAAAUAAAAAAAAAACUUUUUUGUUGAUUAUAAGAAAAUUUUAAAAAUGUUUC